UACGGGAGGCAGCAGUAGGGAAUCUUUCACAAUGGGCGCGAGCCUGAACCAGCCAAGUAGCGUGCAGGAUGACGGCCCUAUGGGUUGUAAACUGCUUUUAUGCGGGGAUAAAGUCGGCUACGCGUAGCCGUUUGCAGGUACCGCAUGAAUAAGGACCGGCUAAUUCCGUGCCAGCAGCCGCGGUAAU
This 187-nucleotide ribosomal RNA is filed under the name uncultured rumen bacterium. RNAcentral describes it as "partial 16S ribosomal RNA". It matches the Rfam family "Bacterial small subunit ribosomal RNA", at positions 340 to 524 of the family's 1533-position model. The record is from RNAcentral.